Molecule: ribosomal RNA, 279 nt
Filed under: Isochrysis galbana
Lineage: Eukaryota; Haptophyta; Isochrysidales; Isochrysidaceae
Description: partial Bacterial small subunit ribosomal RNA
Rfam family: Bacterial small subunit ribosomal RNA
Source: RNAcentral
GUGCCAGCAGCCGCGGUAAUACGGAGGGUGCAAGCGUUGUUCGGAUUUACUGGGCGUAAAGCGCGCGCAGGCGGAUUAGCAAGUCAGAUGUGAAAUCUCGGGGCUCAACCCCGAAACUGCGUCUGAAACUGUUAGUCUAGAAUCUCAUAGGGGGUAGGGGAAUUUCACGUGUAGGGGUAAAAUCCGUAGAGAUGUGAAGGAACACCUGAGGCGAAGGCGCCUGCCUGGAUGAGUAUUGACGCUGAGGCGCGAAAGCGUGGGGAGCAAACAGGAUUAGAU